This 643-nucleotide long non-coding RNA is filed under the name Dromaius novaehollandiae (emu). RNAcentral's name for it is "lncRNA (ENSDNVG00000009160.1)". The record is from RNAcentral. Lineage: Eukaryota; Metazoa; Chordata; Aves; Casuariiformes; Dromaiidae.
UUCGCUGCUGUGCCUGCUCCUGUGAAGAGCCUACAAAGCAGGACUUCUGGAGACGGACUGUGCUGACCCCACUGAGACCCCACUGACGUAUCCAUGGUAAUUUUAAAGAGAAGUGCGUAAUGCCUGGGAGCAAUUCGUAGCAGGUCGGAAACAUCCUGAUCAUUCAGUGCAUUAUGGACCUAGGCAGCUGCGUCAGCUAAGAGCGCAUCUGUCUUCAUUGCAAAGAGGGCUGAGGCAGUUUUUUAAAGCUCCUGGUUAUUAUUUCAAAAGUGUUGGAAGAGGAAAAGUGAUAUACUGCCUUCUSUAAGGCUGUAUCCUGCUGCAGGACUGCCCAGCCUUGUUGCUGAGUUAUACAAAACAGUAAAAUACCAGUUUGAGAUGAAGAAGUUGAACUCUGACAGCUUACACCAAAACUUKGGACAGGUAGUGUUGUUUGUGACUUUUUUUUAAAAAAAAAAAUUGAGCUGCUUUACAUCCCUGAUAAUGUUAUUUUAGUGUCACUUAGUAACUCCUGCCCGUGAUCUUUUUGUUUUCCAUUUCCAAAAACGAGAAUGUAUGGAAGAUGGUCCUACAAGAUGGUUUCUGAUCGGCUUUCCAAGCCUCCAGAAUGGAGAGUCUUGUCUAGUUAAUGAAGGCUCAUAGG